RNAcentral lists this long non-coding RNA (340 nucleotides) under Olea europaea subsp. europaea. The record is from RNAcentral. Lineage: Eukaryota; Viridiplantae; Streptophyta; Magnoliopsida; Lamiales; Oleaceae.
UGUCUGCUCAAUUUUCUUGACAGAUAAUCACUCCGUGGGAAGAGGCUAUACAAACAAAAUACAAGGGCUUACAGGAAUGUACAUCUGUAAGAGGUAUUUUGGGCUUAUUCAGUAUGCUUGAAAAGUCAUAAAUCUUAUCAUAUUCUAUUAUGAGAAUGACAUUUUCUAAAUGCCUAACUUCAUUAGCCGCCCUGGGCAAUUUUUAGCCAUGCAUUCUGCUGAUUUGGAUCUUUCUGUAAGUCUAGCAAUGAGCCUGAUGAACUGGUGAAAGGGAUUCCAUAUAGUCGAUCCGAAUUAUUGAGAAUAAGGUUUAAUUUAUUGUUUUGUUUUUGUCUUCUUG